GGAGAGAUGCCAGAGCGGUCGAAUGGGGCGGUCUCGAAAACCGUUGUCCGUUAUUCGACGGACCGAGGGUUCGAAUCCCUCUCUCUCCG
This 89-nucleotide transfer RNA is filed under the name Bacteroidota bacterium. RNAcentral describes it as "tRNA-Ser". It matches the Rfam family "tRNA". Rfam says of the family: Transfer RNA (tRNA) molecules are approximately 80 nucleotides in length. The record is from RNAcentral. Lineage: Bacteria; Pseudomonadati; Bacteroidota. RNAcentral also lists the same sequence under 2 other names.